This 482-nucleotide ribosomal RNA is filed under the name uncultured bacterium. Its description in RNAcentral is "partial 16S ribosomal RNA". It matches the Rfam family "Bacterial small subunit ribosomal RNA", at positions 30 to 507 of the family's 1533-position model. The record is from RNAcentral.
AUUGAACGCUGGCGGCAUGCUUUACACAUGCAAGUCGAACGGUAACAGGCCGCAAGGUGCUGACGAGUGGCGAACGGGUGAGUAAUGCAUCGGAACGUGCCCAGUCGUGGGGGAUAACUACUCGAAAGAGUAGCUAAUACCGCAUACGAUCUAUGGAUGAAAGCGGGGGACCGUAAGGCCUCGCGCGAUUGGAGCGGCCGAUGCCAGAUUAGGUAGUUGGUGGGGUAAAGGCUCACCAAGCCAACGAUCUGUAGCUGGUCUGAGAGGACGACCAGCCACACUGGGACUGAGACACGGCCCAGACUCCUACGGGAGGCAGCAGUGGGGAAUUUUGGACAAUGGGCGCAAGCCUGAUCCAGCAAUGCCGCGUGCAGGAAGAAGGCCUUCGGGUUGUAAACUGCUUUUGUACGGAACGAAACGGCUCUGGUUAAUACCCGGGGCUAAUGACGGUACCGGAAGAAUAAGCACCGGCUAACUACGUG